AGACGAUCUUCAAGCGGCUGUUCAGGGUGUAUGCGCACAUAUACCACUCGCAUUUCCAGAUGAUUCUCAAGCUCCAGGAAGAAGCACAUCUCAACACCUGCUUCAAGCACUUCAUGCUCUUCACAUGGGUAACUAAGUACCCUCCAUAACUUCAUGACACAAAGUUGCAUUCGUCAGCAAUUGCUGGAAUAAUAACUGUCUUGUGCCAUAUACUUUCGAGGGAAUUGAUAGAAGAUAAUAAGUGUCCUCUUGGCAAAGAAUUACUCCCUCCGUUCACAAGAUGUUCUAGUUUUUUGUGAAUCGGAUGUAUAUAGACACGCUUUGGAUUCAUUUCAGUCUGUAUGUAGUCCAUAUUGAAAUAUCCAAAACAUCUCAUAUUUGUGAACCGAGGGAGUAGAAGAGAAGCCAUACAGUACUCAAAAGUCAAAACCAAGUAAAGUAGCUGUAAAUUAGAACCACAUCAUACACUAGUUUUGCAGCAUGGAUGAUGCUAAGUUAUGCAUGGCAGUACUUCUUUUUUCUCGAAUACGCACGAGUGUGCGUACUAUAUAUUAAAGGGGGGGAAACAAGGGGGAAGAGCCCCUCCACGUUGGAGUUACAAAUAUGCGAAACUCCACCGAGACACACGCUAAUCUACCUACUCGCGUUAGCCCACGCCGAUAAUGCAUGGCAGUACUUCAGCAGUUCAGCUUUCCAGUAUGGCUGCCUUUAGUACCAACCUUUCCUAUUAUGGAAUGCAAAAGAAGGGAGUUUCCUUGUAGUCUGGUUCGAUGAUUCUAAAUUAUAAUAUCCAAUCUUUUGAUUCAGAUUAUUUAAUUCUUUAGAAAGUUGUGAUCAAUCAUUAUGCACACAAAGGAAUCCUGCCUAUUCUUAAGAAGCACUGCACACCGCAAACAUUAGCGGCUAGUUAUGAUGGUUUGCUGAUUGCUCUAUCGACUAGAAUUUGUCAAUUUAUAUUGCCUCCUCAUGAUUAGUAUUAUUAUUAUUUCAGCCGCAUACCACUUUGCAUCUCUUGAGUCUCAAACAAAUUUGUCUCUAAUCGAGUGCUUCAUAUGGUCCGAUCAUUACAAUUACUUAUUGUUGGCCUUAUUUGUUUGGCAGGAAUUUCAGUUAAUCGAUAGGGCAGAGCUAGCUCCUCUCAGGGAGCUGAUCGAGCCCAUAUUAGUUGGACACUAGCCGAGAAGACAAUUGUAGCUUUGUUUCAAGAACUGAUGAUGCAAAAGUGCAGAGACUUCAUUUUUUGUUGCUUUUUAAGUUAGUUAGUUUCUCUAGCUUGUGCAUGCACGCAAUUGUGUUUCUGUUUUUGUGCGGAUGUUAGACUUGGAUAUGGGCUACCUUCAUCUACAUUUUAGAGAUAGGUUAGCUAGUGCUCGUGUAUGUACUCAGACUCCCCCAAGUAGGUGUUGAUUACAUCAUGGCAAUUUGUUCAUUUCGACAGACUGUCAUUUGAUCCGGGGAAUUUCUCUUGGUUGGGUUAUGCGCGAUAGCCAAAUUUAUCGUUUCCUAAAAAUUCUGAGAAAGAAAAGGGUUAUCAGGGUGGCACCCCCGAAGCAGGAACAUUGAAGCACUUUCAAGAAUCAUGGGAUAAUCCAAUAACAUUUCCUGUGUUUGGAAAUGAAAAAUUCAUUGCAAACUCAAUAAGUAAGCAAUUGUUUUGUUGAUGUAAGUUUUUUUAAACCCAAACCACCAAACUUUUUUGGUUUACAAUGUUCUUCCGAGCAAUUAGACACUGGGCAGCAGUACACAUGUGUCCUCUACAACCUACAUGGCAAAAGCCGUAUUUUUGAGUGUUUGACAAAAAACUACCAGUUUAGGGGUUCGCGUCCCACAGAACUACCACUUUUGAAAACUACCAAAAAAACGUAAUCACGUGACUAAAAACUACCAAGUUGACUGAAUGGUGGUUUUGACCGUUUUAACCGUGAUUCUGACGUGAGUGGCCCACGUGCCAGGCUGACGGCCCGCCUAACGGCUAACGGCGCGCGCACGGGGCCGUUAGAGCUCGCACCUGGUCGGACCAGGUCAUAACCUGGCCGACCGGGCCGCUCGUCCCCACCAGCUCUCUCACUCUCCCCCGAGCUCACUCCACUCCUCUCUGCUCUCCUCUGCUUCUGUUUCUUCUUCUCGCACUCCGGCAACGCCGCGAACAUGUCGUCGUGGCCGAAUAGCAACGAGACGUCGGACGACGAUGACGAGUACAUGAGCGAGUUCAACAGCAUGCAGAUGGAGUACUUUGUAAGUCAGCUCAGUCUAUCCUCUCCCUCUUCUGUCUGUUCUGUUCUAGGGUUAGGGUUAGGGUUUGAAGAUAUUUGAGAUUUUUCCAUUUAAGUUGAUAUAUGUGAGUUGUUGUUGAUAUAGAUAUGCUUUUGCUGUUGCAGCAAACUCCUGACACUGUGAUAGACCCUAGUUUCUGUGGGCUUGUGACUGAAUCUGACAGAAGGUGCAUCCUGCACAGGCAGAGGCCGGGCAAGUUCGUGGCAUUUGAAGGCACUGACACUGGCAGGAGAUUCAUAGGAUGUGCUACUGAGGUAAUGGACCAAGUUGGUGUGGAUUUGAUUAGCUUGAAUUUCUGCUAUGUAGUGGAAACAGAGUGUUUAGUUGCUGUUUUUCUAAAUUUUCCUUAAGUCUGAAAACAUUGGUAUGUCUGAAUACUGUACUUGUAAUAAGAGCACUGGAAACAUAUGAAACAUAUUGAUGUAUUGUAUUUUUAGUAUAUAACUAACUAGCUCGUGUAGCUAUUUAUAUUAUUAUUGUUUAUGAUUUUUUAUUCUGAAUUUACUUGUUAACUGUGGUGUUCACUGUAAAUUUAUAUUGAUUUUCAGGAUGGUGUGAACUGUGGUGUUCUGGAGUGGGUAGAUGCCCCCUGUCCUGUAAUUCUGCAAAGGUGCUUAAGCAAGCUCUGGGAUAUGUAUCAUGAGCAGAACCUUGGUAGAGCCCAGGAUAAUGAGGCUCAUGGGAUAGAGGUUGCAAAACUGCAGAAGGAGCUUGACUCUCUGGCCAAUCAGUAUAGCCAGCUGGUGGAUGAUGUGUCCAAGUUAUUUGAUUAUCAGGAUGGAGUCAAAUCUCAUGACAUGGACUGCACAAGCCAGGCAAUCAAUGAACUGAAGGAGAAGAAGAAGCAACUUGAGGAGCAGGCAAAGAUUGAGCUUCAAAUGGAGAAGCUUAAGCUCAAGAAAGAACAAAGGUGCAUCCUUCAGAGUCAAGCUGAUAUAAUGCAAAACACAAGGAAGGCCAUGAAGGAGCUAGAGGUGGAGAAAGACCUCCUUAAAGAAGAGAAGAAGCUAGAGAAUGUCAUUGCUGAGCUCCUGAAGGUUGGUCAUGGGUGCAAGGAAAAGCUGGACAAGAUAAAGGAAGUUGUGAUGGAGGAGUGAAGUGGAAGCUCUGGAUGGUCAGUAUAUAUGAGGCCUAUAUAUAUAAUUGGCCUAGGAAUGAUCAGUCUGAUGCAAAUAUGCCCUGAUCUACCUAUGAACUACCUUUGAACUACCUAAGAACUGUAAUGGGUUCAGAUCAUUUUGGUUGGUGUGGGGGGUGCUGUUUGCCCUGAUCUAUACUGCCCAAAUAUUAUCCUGAUGCUGAGAAUUGGUGCUAAGUUAAGUUAAGAACUAAAUUAUCUAAGUCUGAUGCAGUUUAUUUCUGUGUGUUGUAUCAUAAGUUCUUGCUGAGAUCUGUUUACUUCAGAAAUUGCUUCAUCACAGGUUCAGACAAAUUCAGAGAAGUUUGGAAGACAUUUAGUCUCCCAUAGAUAGCAUUUAGUCUUACAUAGAUAGCACAUGGACACUGAAAUUGUUCAAAGACACUUAAACUGACAGAACUGAAUCUCACUGAGAUUGCAAACACCCUGAUAAAGUGACAGAACUAAACUGACAGAACUGAAUCUCACAUAGAUCUAGCGAUAACUGCUGUAACUGAAUCUGAAACUUACAGUUUCAGAUUGUUAGGCCCCUGCCUUGCUAUGCGACCUGACCGUCGCACCUCUUGCUUGACUUGAGUGGUAGGUGGCAGCUCUGGCACCUCCUCUUCGUCUCCAUCGAUGACGAUGAUGGGAGGAGGACGUCGGCGAGCCAGCAGUGGUGGUGGGGCGAUGAUCUGCAGGUCCUCGUUGUCGUUGCCCAUAGUAGUUGGAGCUGUAGCUUGUGCUGGAGGGAUAUAUUGGUGGGCUGCCCACCGUUCUCUCUGCCCAGCAUCGCCGGAGUCCGCCUCCUUCAUUGUCCACAGCAACAUGUCGAUGGGCAUGAUACCCUUACCUGGGGUUGCAUAGCGCUGGUCCAUGCGCUGCUUCUCCUUAGUCAUCGCCUUCUUCCUCACCUCUUCUGAUGCAUCCACGAGCCCUUCUGCGCUGCUGUAUCUCAUGGCAAUCUUCAUGUAGUCGAGGAAGAGGUCUUCGUCGCCGCGAGCCGACCCAAAAAAGCAUGGCAACCCAGCCCUUGCCGGUGGGGAAGGGGUUCAGCCAUGGGUCUGGCGUAGAGGAAGAACCAGCCAUGGAUGUAGGUAGAGUGAGGUUUUUGAGAGAGAGAUAGAGUGAGCAGAGAUAGAGUGAGUUGUUGGGCUACUUAAAUGUUGGAGUGGAGGAAGUGCGAUGGAGUGUGACAGUGGGGAAGUGGUAGAUUGAGUGAUGAGAAAUGGUGGUAGUUGUGCUGCAAUUAAAGUCUUUGUUGAAACCCAGCAGAUUGGAACUUGUGCUAAAACAGUGGAGUAGUUGUUGGUCAAAGUAUUUCAAAAAUUAGAGUGACCAAAAAAUCACAUUUCAGCAAAGCCCAAAUAUAGAAACAUUCAGAUAAAUGCAGAUAGAUGGAUUCAGGCAUAAGUUCAGACAUAAAAAUAUUGUGCCAUGGAUACAUUUCUUACAAAAUAAGCAUAGUCUUUAUCAUAGAUUUUUCAACAACCCAAACAUAGAUAGUUCAGAAAUAAGCAUAGUCUUUAACAUAUAUUUUUCAACAACCCAAACAUAGAUAGUUCAGAAAUAAGCAUAGUCUGUAACAUAGAUUCAGGCAGCCACAUUGCAUCGUCUUCAUCACGGUUGGUGCAUCUCCUGAACUGCAUCCUUCACUGCAAUCAUAAAAGUUCAGAAAGUUCAGAACAAGACAAGAUUCAAAACAAGACUAAGAACAAGAUUCAGGGCAAUAUUCAGCACAAGACAAGCAGAUUCAGAACACCACAAUUUAGUCAGAAACUACCGCGUUGAACUAAUCCCAAUCCUGUCUUCCUUCUGCUGCACCCAGGAUCUGAGUCCAUCUCUUCCUUGUUGCUUGGAAUCGAUGGAAAGAUGCCCUGUCUCUGGCCCACCAGAUGAUUAGUUCAUCUGUGAUGUUGGUUCCUUCUGGGAACAUCUCCUUGAACUGCUUCACGUCAUUCUGGUUGCGUUCCGCCAUAAUCAUGGCAGCAAUCCUCUGGCGUCGCUCCUGUGCCUGUGCUCGACGGUUGGCCCUCCUUUCAGCCCUAGCAACCUCGUCUUGUUCAUCAACUACCUCUCCUAACUGUGGAUCCAUCAGUGGCGGCUAGGUUUUGGUCAAGGGGAAUGAGGCGUAGGGAUCCAGUGGUUUCUGGUGGCCUCUCUUAUGUAGACAGUGUGGCAGGCUUGGUGGGUUAGUUAGGCCCAACACGGAAGCCCAUCAUCAGGCCCAUGUUACACGUCAAAUUGGAUAGAAGUACAGUCAGGUUCGGUCAGGUUCACACAAAUUCAGACAGACUCAUGCAGAAAAGUACAGACAGGUUCAAAACAAAGUGAAACAGGUUCUAAACUAAUUCAAACAGGUUCAAAGAGAGAAAUUCUACCUUUUUAUAGUGUCAGUUACCACUUGCAUAGAAAUAACCCUUUAAUUUGCUGCUUGCAAACCUCUUCCUUUUGGUACCAGCCAAAACAUCUGAAGUUGCAGCAACAGAUCUUGGUGCACUGAAUCCCUUGCCUCUCCCUCCACCUGCAGGCCUACCCCUUUUAGCUGUUGUAGUAGGAGCUGGUGCAGAUGCAGCAGGAGCUGGUGCUCUUGCAUGUGGUGCUGGUGCUGAUGCAGCAGGAGCUGGUGCUCUUGCAGUAGGGGCUGGUGCUCUUGGAGUUUGUACUGGAGCAGAUGGAGCAGGUGUAUAAACUGCCCUGUUUUCCUACAUUAAAGGUCCAACUUCACUUAGAUUAGACUAUGUAAAAGAAAACAUUGCUCUGAUGCUUGAUAAUUACCUGGUGUUUGUUUUUCCUCAUUUGCAGUUUAGGCCUAAGAGUCUUAUUGCAACUUGUAUACUUGUGUCCUUUCGACCCACAAUUUCCACAGGUGUAAGGGCAUAUUUAUCCCUAAGAUGUUUUGGUGAUUGAUGACAAUGCUUUUGCGGACUAAUCAUGUGCGUUGAGUGUUUUUCAGAGAUUCAUUCUUUUGGGCACGAGACGAUAUCCUCCCCUCGGAACUUAAAGCGAAGACGGUGUAGUCCUUUCGGAUUAGUUUGGUGGACUAGUUUCAUAGGGAUCACCGUACUAUCAAGAGGGGGUCCGUUUUGGAAAGGCUAGGGCGGAAUCAUCACGUACACUUCCUUUGCCCCUCCCUCCGAGCCUUUCCGUUUCGAUGAUGGGCUUGGAUUCUCCUUUCUUUGUGCCCUCUCUGGUCCCAGCGGUAGUACCGCGGGCCAGAGCGGUAGUACCGCUUGGGUGGUACAAGCGGUAGUACCGCUCCGGAGCGGUAGUACCGCCCAGAGCAGUAGUACCGCUAGUAGCUCCGUGUGUGUGCUAUCUCUGGUCCCAGCGGUAGUACCGCGGGACGGAGCGGUAGUACCGCUUGGGUGCCACAAGCGGUAGUACCGCUCUGGGCGCGGUAGUACCGCUCCAGAGCAGUAGUACCGCUGGUGGCCCCAAGCCGUAGUACCGCUCUGGUCUCGUGCUAGUACCGCCUCGAUUCGAGGGCUCAUUUUUCGUGUCGGGUUUUACGGUACUGGCCGCGGCUGUGGGGGGCCGUAGUACCGCUCCUGUGCGGUAGUACCGCCCUCCCUCCGCGGUAGUACCGCUGUGGACCAAGCGGUAGUACCGCGCUUUUGGGCGGUAGUACCGCUUAUUGUUGCAAGCGGUAGUACCGCUGGCACAGCGGUACUACCGCUCUCUUCGGGGCAGGGGGGGUAACGGUUGGUUUGUUCCCCCCCACUAUAUAAAGGGGUCUUCUUCCCCAAAGUUGACUUACCUCUUCCCCCAAAAGCUCCAUUGUUGCUCCAAGCUCCAUUUUCGCCCGAUCUCUCUCCCUAGCCAAUCAAACUUGUUGAUUUGCUCGGGAUUGGUUGAGAAGGCCACGAUCUACACUUCCACCAAGAGAAAUUUGAUUCCCCCCACUUAUCCCUAGCGGAUCUUGUUACUCUUGGGUGUUUGAGCACCCUAGACGGUUGAGGUCACCGCGAAGCCAUAGUCCAUUGUGGUGAAGCUUUGUGGUGUCGUUGGGAGCCUCCAAUUAAGUUGUGGAGAUUGCCCCAACCUUGUUUGUAAAGGUUCGGUCGCCGCCUUCAAGGGCACCAAUAGUGGAAUCACGGCAUCUCGCAUUGUGUGAGGGCGUGAGGAGAAUACGGUGGCCCUAGUGGCUUCUUGGGGAGCAUUGUGCCUCCACACCGCUCCAACGGAGACGUACUUCCCCUCAAAAGGAAGGAACUUCGGUAACACAUCCUCGUCUCCACCGGCUCCACUCUUGGUUAUCUUGUUCCUUUACUUUCGCUAGUUUACUUGUGUUAUUUCUCUUACUUGCUUGCGUGCUUGUUGUCGUUGCAUCAUAUAGGUUGCUCACUUAGUUGCAUAUCUAGACAACCUAUUUUGAUGCAAAGUUUAAUUUGGUAAAGAAAAGCUAAAAAUUGUUAGUUGCCUAUUCACCCCCCCCUCUAGUCAACUAUAUCGAUCCUUUCAACAGGUAAUUGUUCCCAUCCUACUGGUGUCUCUCAGGGCAGGAACUUCAAACUCUCCUUUCCUCCUUGCAGUCUGUUUUCUGCCUGCCUUUUCUUUGAACACAGGAGGUUCAAUGUCUGGAGUGUUUGUGUGAGGCCAGAAAUCUGGACCAGGAACAGGGUAUAUAAUUUCUUUGUAUGUCUCCAAAUAAAGUGGCUUCUUGAAAAAGUCAUUGACAUAGUCCUCAGGAUGCAGCUUUUGCUUUGUCAUUACAGAUAUGCCAUGACUACAAGGUACACCAGUCAUGUUCCAUCUCUUGCAGUCACAUGUAUACCCUUCCAUGUCCACACAAUACUGUUUUUCUUUGCUAGUAACUUGCCAAAUUGUUGGACCAGCUCUGUCAGCCUGGCAAUACUUGGCAUACUGCUUGUUCUCUUCUAAAAUCUCUGAGUAGGUUGGUGUGAUUGUCCACUUGCUAAUCUGUAACUUCUCCCUAGUUUGUUGCCUCUUGAUCAUUUGCUUGGUCCUAAUCCCUUCAAACAUUGUCCUUAUUGGUUUGGCCCUAACAUCCAGUAUCAUCUUGUUGAAGACUUCACUUAGAUUGUUCACAACUAAAUCUGUUUUGCAAGUAUGAUCCAUAGCAAACCUAGGCCAAGUAGAGACCUAAAUUUUUUUGAGCCAUUUCCAAGCAUCCUCAGACUGUGCUUUCAGCUCUGCCAUGCCUAGUUCAUGCCCAUGUUUAGUGUAGGAGUAGCUAGCCUUGUCAAUACACUUCUUUAGUUCCUGGCCUCUAAAUCCAGCAGAUUGAAAAUUUGCAUAUAUGUGCCUAAGACAAUACCUUUGAGGUGAAUCAGGGAAUACCUCAUUUAUUGCCUUAAGCAAGCCCUGUACAUUCACAAAUUAUUACUACAAUUGAAAAUAAUGAAAUAAUUAAAAAAGUAAUAACACUAAAUUGCUCAAUGAAAUUCUUCCCAACCUUUUGCCUGUCAGAUAUGAUAGUGUAUGUUCCAAAUUUGUUGCCACUGCCAAUGCAACAUCUCAAUUGAGUUAAAAACCAAUUCCAACUUUCACCAUCUUCCUUGUCAACCACACCAAAAGCUAUAGGAUAAAUAUUGUUGUUUCCAUCCCUUCCUGUGGCUGCAAGAAUUUGCUGCCCAGUGGUUAACUUGAUGAAGCAUCCAUCAAGACCUAUAAAUGGUCUGCAACCAUUAAGGAAACCUUCCUUUGAAGCUGCUAAACAGUAGAACAUAUACUUGAAUCUAGGAGUAGGUGCUGGGUUCUCUGGAUCUUCAAAUGUUGUUACUAUACACCUGCUACCUGGGUUUGUGUCAAGAACUGCUUGAAGAUAAUCCCUGAGCCUCAAGUACUGCUGCUUGUGGUCACCUUGAACUACAUCAACAACCUUCCUCCUUGCCCUAUAUGCCACACUUCUUGAUACAUCCACUGAAAACUUAGUCUUGGUCUUCUUAAUUAAUGCAUCCACAGGAGAUCUAAUGUCUUCUCUCAAUGCUGCCUCUACUGACCUUGACAUCCACUUAGUAGUAACCUUUGUGGACUCUGCACAUGCUCCACAAGUGUGCAACAUAUCACACUUCUUGAUGCAGAAUGUUUUUUCAUGAGCUAACUUAGAGGCACAUAUAUAAAAAUCACAUCCCUGGGCGGCUCUCUCUGAGCACCAAACAAUAAUCCUAUCUGGGGCAUUUCUGUGGUAUUGAAAAUUUCUCAAAGUCCUCAUGUGAAAAUCCCUAAGUGCAUCUCUGAACUCAUACAUAGUGGUGAAGCACAAGCCCUUACAGAACUAUUCUACUGGUCCUUGAAGUUUGUGAUCAUACCAUAUCCUGUCUUUCAACUUCUUAUUCCUUCUCUUCCUACCACUUGGUAGUUUAUAGGAUCCUUCAGGCUCAUCUUCUUCAUCACUGAUGCCAUAAUCACCAGGGAAACAUUUUUCAUCUGCUUCAGGGAACCAAUCUGCUUUCUCCAUUUUCUAAACCUCAUGGUGGGAUCUACUGGUUGGACCAGGUUUUCUCACUACCUUCAGUUUCUGUACCACUGCUGUAUCUUGUUUUGCAGCUUCAUCUUCAGAGGAAUACUCUGACUGAAAAUACAAAUUGUUCCCAUCUGAACCUGAAUUUGCAGCUUCAUCAUCAGAAACAAAUUCAGACACAUCAGUGUCACCUUUAAAAUGGUUAAGGCCAGCCUCUCUCUGCACCAUGCUUUUCUUCAGCUCUUCCUUUCUGUCCAUGCUUAUAUCCACCAACUUAGUGCAACUUUGUUGAGUGUUAAUGCAAUGUUCAGCAAAAUAACUAUCUCUGUUUUCAUGAUUUUCAUCUGCAUUACAUGCCUCAAGAGCUCCCACUACUCUUAUGUUCAGAAUCUUUUCAUUAUGAGAGUGUGACAACAUCUGCUGCACAUCAUCUUCAUAGCAUAUUUUAUCUAAAUCUUCUAAUCCUUUCUCAUCAUCAAAUACAUAGUACAUAUAAUCAUCAGCCACAAAGCCCUCACUCCCAAUAAGAGAAAGCAUUGUCAAAUAUGAUAUGUCUGACUGGUAUAAAUUUCGAACCACAGAUUCUCUGGCAUUGAAAUGGAACCAAAUUGACCACUUUGGGUCAUCAAUUCUGAAAAUUAUAAAAUGAAAAACCUUUAUUAACUGAAAACAUGAUAACUGAACCUAACUAGGCACAAUAUUGAGUUUCUGUCAAACUGCUUUUUUCAGUUUCUUACACAACAAAGUAUGCACAAUACUAACAAUUUGCAAGGUCACCAAAACUGAAUCUAACCAUGCAAAAAACUAGCCUAAUUUACUGAUUCUCUGAAUCUCUGACUCGCAAUCUAUGGUGGGAUCUACUGGAUGAGAUGUCGUACCUGCCGCCGCCCGUAGAACGAGGAAGCUUCCGCCGACCUUGAGCUCUGCUUCUUGUCGUCGACGGUGGUCGCGCCGGCGCCGACCAAUCCAACCUCUGCUGCGCGCCGCCCGCGGAAGGAUUAGAUUCGGACUGAGAAGGCUGCUGCGCCGCACUGCCGCCCGGAGGUAUGCCUGAAUCGCCGCCGGAGUUUGCAUCCAUAGCCGCCAUGGCUGGCGACGGCUAGGGCUAGGGAGGAGCUCGGGGGAGAGUGAGAGAGGGUGGGGAAUGGGGAGCCGGCCGGCCAGGUCUGACCUGGUCCAACCAGGUGCGACCGACGAGCGGCUCUAACGGCCCCGCGCGCGCGCCGUUAGCCGUUAGGCGGGCCGCCAGCCUGGCACGUGGGCCACUCACGUCAGAAUCACGGUUAAAACGGUCAAAACCAUCAUUCGGUCAACCUGGUAGUUUUUAGUCACGUGAUUACGUUUUUUUGGUAGUUUUCGGCCACUUUUAAAAAAGUGGUAGUUCUAUGGGACGCGAACCCCUAAACUGGUAGUUUUUUGUCAAACACUCUCUAUUUUUUGAGCAGUUUUUUGGGAUCCUAAAUACAGGCAUAAAGUAGGUGGCUAGAGAUCGAGGUGAGGACGAUGGAUAAUAAUAGGAUUAACAUGUCCUCUUUGGACAGAAGUUUAGCCUUCCACCCAAAAGAUAUUUAUGACAUUUUUCUAGGAUUGGUAGAAACUAGAAAGGCGUCCAGCCAUAGUCGAAUAGGCGAAAGUGGUAGUCCUAGCUAGAUAGAUUUGAGGGAAGGCCCACACGGGGCAGCCAAGAAUAUUAGCUAUUGAGCUUGCCUAGCCGGCAGGGAGAUGCAUAUGUACGAACGUUGUUUUACUGAAGUUCAUGGCUAAACCCGUAGCCCUGGCAAAGUCAUCUAGGAUAUCCUUUAGGGCGAUCGUAGGUGAAGCCUCUACAAUUAUGAGGGUGUCAUCAGCAUACUGAAGCGUAGUGGGUGGUAGGUAGAGGGAGAUUGGGUGGUGCAGAGAUAGAGGGUGUGGAUUUUGGCGGAUUAGUCAUUGUAGAAGGUCUGCAACGAUGAUGAAUAGAUAUGAUGAUAGCAGAUCCCCUUGUCGUAGACCAGUGUUUGCAGUUGAUCCAAUCCCCUGGUACUCCACUAAGUAAGAUUGUCGUUUUCCUAGUUGAAAGGACAUUAUUGAUCCAAGAGCAGAAUUGAGUAGGGAAACCUCUUGCGAGGAGGAUUGUGGAGAGAGAGAGAGAGAGUCAAAAACUUUAUAAAAGUCUGACUUUAGAAACAUAGUGUUUUUUUUAGAAUGACAUGAGUUGAUGAUGUCGCAGCAUAUACAAAAUUCUCCACAAUAUUCCUGUCAGAUAUAAAACCCGUUUGGUCACCAUGAACGAGUUGUGGGAUUAGAGGGUUAAGAUGAUUGGUUAGGACAUUGGCGACAACUUUAACUCAGCAGUUUGUCAAUUUGUGAAUUCACAGAAGAAAGGCCCAAUAAAGUAUUUUAAGAUGUGCCAGUACUUCCAAUAAAGCCACCCGGCCACAGUUUUGACAACCCCAUCAUCAUCUCAUAAGAAGAAGAAAAUUGCAAAUAGAAGAUGUCUCAACUGAAAACUGGUACAUUAUUGAUAAACAAACUGGCGCAUUGCUUAGCCUGUUUUUUCUAACUGUGCUAACCCUCUUUCAAUUUAAUCAAACGAAAAUACAACAGUUCUAGAGUUUAAAUAGGGGACGAGAAAGAAGGAAAAGUCAGUUCAACGUAGUGCCAGAAAUGCCACUUGCACCGAUAUUAGAACGUACACUAUGGGCGAAAAACCUGGACGGCACCGAAACAAAAGAAACCCAGCGGGUGCUGACCUGUUUAGUGAUCCAUCACAAUAUAAUAAUGGUUUGGCUAGCUGUUAGUUAGUGUGGCAAUUGAUUGAUAGAAAAAGAACAUUAGCGGGCUCUGACCUGUUUGUGUUCCAUCAUAAUAAUGGUUUACCUAGCUGUUUGGCAAUUGAUUGAUAAAAAAUUCGUUGUUACAGGUAAAGAGUACACUCUGGUUUCGUUUAUUCAGAAUUGGUAAUGUUCUCGUGCGGUUGGAGUAUCUUAUUUCCUCCUUUAAAUUUCUUCGUUUAGUUUUCUAUAUACUGCAUUUGAGUCAAGCUCGUGUGUAUACAUCUGCAGAGGACAAAAACAUGAUGCAAAAUAUACAGCCUGAUGAGUGAGGAAAACAGGUCCCAAUCAUUAGAAAGUGCAGACCUGAAGAUUAAGUAUAUGAGGCGAGGGUGCUGCACAUAAUGUAGUUUAUUACAUUUCUUUUAUAUUUGGAUUUCUUUGUUUAUGACUGAUGAACAAAGGCUGUUCAGUUGGUCCUCCCUUGAGACGACUUUGUCAUCUACUCCAUUUCUGCAAUAGUGGUUGCUGUAACCAUUUUAUAUAAUUUAAUAAAGAUAGUUGUGUGCAUCUAUUGAUGCAGAGGAUGGGGUUUCAACCUCCUUUAUAAAAAUAUAUACUCCCCUCUUCCCAAAAAAUAUAGUGCGUUUGAAUUUUUCUGGUCUUCAUUGCACAAGUUUAACUAUAAUUUUAACUUAUUGUAUGUCUACAAAAAUAAUGUACAAACAUAUAAAAAUGAAUUGUUUCACAUGACAAAUAUGAGAGCUAUUUGUACAUUUUCAAUCCAUGUAUUUUGGUAUAUAUUAAUGGUCAGAGAUCGCGUCAAAGGCCGUAUAAAGUCAAGUGCGACUUACAAUUUAAGGAUGGAGCAUUAAUUGAAAGCACCUUUUGAGCUCACAUGUCAACUUGAUUCAUAAGCUAGGUCUCUCCUAAUUCCCCGAUGUAAACAAAAAUCUCUCCUAAUCAAUCUAGAAGCCCAUAACGACUUAGGCUAGUCAUAGUGGGAGUAACUUAGGUAGUAAUAUGACACAUCCCAAGAAAAAUUUGCUUAUGUGGCAUGGAGUUAAUGAGGGGAGAGAUGCUUGUGGUAACAUAAUAUGUCACUGUAACAUAACACACCCCGGGGUAAAAUGAGUCUAUGUCUCAACUAAUGAGGCUUGUAUGUUACCAACCAUAUGUUACUACCCAUUAUGAAGGUAGUAACAUGGACUAGUAACAAAUGCAUGUUACUAGUCUAAGUUACUCCCCACUAUGACCAGCCUUAUACCUCUGUGCAGCCUUUACUUCAUUGACUCAUCCGCCCCGCCCCUGGCUUCAUUUUAUCCCAGGAAUGACAAUCCCCUCUUUCACCGUGGGGGCUUGUAGUCAGAUUGAUACUAUGGCAGCUCAUGUUCAUGUCGAUCAAUUCCACUUGGCUCGACCGCCAGCAUCAACUCCAAGAUGAAAAGCCUAUGUUCCUCUGCCCCGACAGCGAGCACCACAAGCUUCGCAGUUCAUGACAGUUUUCUUAGCUUUCGACCUGUGAAGGAGAUGUGCAGGUGAUUUCCAUUGCUACCAUUCUGAUUAUUUUUCUUUUCAUAGGAAAGGCCUAAUGACCUAGCUUUAUAGGAAGCUCGAGAUUCAGUUUAGUUGGGGAUAAAACCGUCAUAGAUCCGGUUCUUUUCUUAUUGUAUAGACCUGGCAUGUAUAUUGGGUUUGUGGCAAGUAUGCGGAGUUAUCUCUGCUGGAUUGUUUCUACCUUCCAACUUGUAUAGUUCCGUAAGCACUAUGAAGCUUGAGAUGGAUGACAUGGAUUCCUAAUGACUUACAUCAGUAAAAACAAGGGCAAUCAUGAAGUGUGCGUCUAUGUAAUUUGCAUGAGAUAGUUGAUCGCAGAGUCGAGGAAGCGAAUGUAAAGGCGAAAGGUGUGCAGCUGCGGCUGCCGGCUUCCGUGUACACAUAGAGGGGAAUAGGAAUAGGCAAUUCCUAUUUGGCACUUCAGGCGCCCAUUUGCAAACCCACCCCCCAUCCCGCGAGUUGGGCUGGCCCAAUUCACUUAUUUUUCUCUAUUUUAUAAACUGAGAAAAAGAGGGCACAAACUAUGAUUCGAACCCGCAACGUGUGUGUUAGGUGUAAGACGCAAUAACCACCCAGCCACCUAACCUUAUUGUGAUUACAUAGAUGUUUUGCGUCUUUUUUUCCUUUCCUUUCUUUUUUCCUUUUUUAUGUCCCUUUUUAUUAUUCUACUUUGUGAACUUUUUCUUCAAGGGAAACGCUCGAAAUCUACAGGCGGAUAUUUUCGUUUUGUCCACCACUUCCUCUGCACGACGCGUGUCUCAGUGGAGCCCACCACACCGCUAUCCUUGUCGCCGGCGUAUCCACACGUUUCUUCUGCGAGUCGUCUUCUCCAACAAGGGCCAUGUUACAUCAUCUUUUAUGCAAGAAAAAGUCUCUGCAACAUCACUCAUUUUGCAAAAGUCCUUCUGCAACAUCAUCUAUAUUCAGCAAUAGGUGACCAAGGCAUAUUCUUUCUAGCACUCAUAUCAUCCAUAAAUAAUUGAAACACAAGUUUAUGGUACUGAAUAACUUAACUUUGAAUUUCAGCUAAUUGCUCGGGAGAGAAAAUAUAACUUAUAGAGGUUUUAACAGGUUUGCCUUGUGGAGGAGGGUACACAAUUUCUUCAAUCAGGGUGACUGUUGCAUUGACGAUCCUUCUUGAUAUUUGCAAGAUACGCCUGUAAACUCCCCUCCUCAUGUUUCUUCUUAUAUACCUUGCAAGAUUUACUUUGUUCUUCUGAUAACACGUACUAGCCAAGUUGACUAUGCUAUCGGCCUUGAUUUCUUAAGGCUUUGGGAACUUGCUGUCAGACAUGAUGAACAACAUUAUCCCUCGAUCUUUUUUCUCUCAAACACCAAAAGUGUGUUUGCAAAUGAAGACAUCACAUGUCCUCCCACCGUCGAGGGCGAUACCUAGGACACAUGGCCAGAGAAGCCUUGUCACGAUAUGCAAGACAAGCCGAUGCGGUCUCUUGAUGCCGAAACCCCACACGCCUGAGAGGGGCCGUGUUAGAGAGUGUGGCGGCUAUUGGUUGUCCUAGGUCGGCCUGGUUGUGCCUAAAGCCUUGUAGUCAGCUGCAAUCGACGAUGAGGAACAAUAAGCUAAAAAACUAUGGUAAAGAAGAAGUAGAUGAAAAUAAAAGUAGCAGAUUGAUUUUUUUCGAUUGUGUGUGUGUUGUAAAUUAGCCACCACCCUUAUAUAUUUAUAGGCGGCUGGUCUUGUCGUAGGAGAGUAGGACUCCUAGUCUGAACACCCGACUAUCAACACGACUUUUCACCCUUCACCAUGUUGUCAGUGAAUCAAUCAACAAUUUGUCGAUGUUCACGCCUUUAGUGAAGUCGUCAGUCAUGGUCACAACAUGAACACAUCAUCCUUCACCAUGUCGUCACUGAAGCCACCAAAAAAUUGUCUUUGUUUUGGGUCGUUAUCAAAGUCACCAGUCUUCGUCAUCAACAUGAACUCAUCAUGUCACCAGCUAAUCCGCAAUCAAAUUGUCUAUACUCACGUCUUUAUCGAAGUCGCCGAUCAGAGACGUCAACACAAACUCGCCAUGCUUCACCAUGUUGCCAGCGAAGCCGCCAAAAAAUUGUCUGUGUUCGUGUCUUCAUUGAAGUUGCCAGUCCUGAUCAUCAACACAAACUCGUCACCGUUCACCACGUCAGCAGUCAAAACCCCAAAAAUUUGUCCGUGUCCGCGUGAUUAUCAAAGUCGCCAGUCUUGGUCGUCAACACGAACUCGUCACCCUUCAUCACAUCGCCAGUCUUGGUGGUCAACAGGAACUCGUCACCCUUCAUCACGUCGCCAGUGAAGCUGCCAAAAAAUUGUCUGUAUUCGAGUAUUCAUCGAAAUCACCUGUCUUGGUCAUCAACACUAACUCAUCGCCCUUCACCAUGUCGCCAGCGAAGCCGCCAAAAAUGUCACCGUGUUCACUUCUUUGUCAAAAUCGCCAGUCAUGGUCACCAACAUGAACUCGUGGCUCUUCACCAUGUCACCAGCGAGGCCGCCAAGUUUAUGUUUGUUUUCACUGUUUCUUAUAUUAUUGUAAUCUGACACCAGUUUAAUGGAAUGCUAAAUUUCUCUACAAACAGUCCAGAUCCGACACACCACACAGUAGGGGAUUAGGGGAUCAUAUCUUGGACCAUAUAGCUGGAUUUGCACUCAUUGGCUACCACACAGUUCAAGAACAUCACUCCAUCUCGGGUCCCUUGCUGCCACUACACGGUCCACCUAUCACCCAGAGAGGAGAGAAAGAAAGUCGGCAACACCGAGUAAGGUGAGGGAGGAGAAACCCACCGUCGCAGAUGAGAUGGUACCCCCGAAGUCUGUCUCACACACACACACACAGAGAGAGAGAGAGAGAGAGAGAGAGAGCGUAAAUGGNNNNNNNNNNNNNNNNNNNNNNNNNNNNNNNNNNNNNNNNNNNNNNNNNNNNNNNNNNNNNNNNNNNNNNNNNNNNNNNNNNNNNNNNNNNNNNNNNNNNNNNNNNNNNNNNNNNNNNNNNNNNNNNNNNNNNNNNNNNNNNNNNNNNNNNNNNNNNNNNNNNNNNNNNNNNNNNNNNNNNNNNNNNNNNNNNNNNNNNNNNNNNNNNNNNNNNNNNNNNNNNNNNNNNNNNNNNNNNNNNNNNNNNNNNNNNNNNNNNNNNNNNNNNNNNNNNNNNNNNNNNNNNNNNNNNNNNNNNNNNNNNNNNNNNNNNNNNNNNNNNNNNNNNNNNNNNNNNNNNNNNNNNNNNNNNNNNNNNNNNNNNNNNNNNNNNNNNNNNNNNNNNNNNNNNNNNNNNNGGGGGGGGUAGUGGUUAGCUGAUCCGCUGAAACCGGCGAAGUCGUGAUUUGUAUCGAGAGUCUAGAAAUGGACACCGGCUAUAUGCUUUCCACUGCUUGUUUUGUACAAAUAUUGUGUUUCUAUAAAAAAGAAAAAGCUGGCGAGAAAAAAGAAAUUAUGGAGGAGGGGCUGGGGUCACUUGUAUGGAAAGGCCGGGUAUAGCUUAGCUGUCGGUGAAUGAGUACCAACAAGGCAGGAUUGGAGCAAGCGGAAAACCAUGAAAGGCGGCAGAUGAGCGCACAGCUAGCAGGACGUAAUCAGUGGAUAACAGCCAACGCACAGCCCAAAACAGUAACGGAUGCACCGCACGCACUCACGACGCCAGCCACCCACACCCACCACCGCUCCCCCCUCCGUCGUCGCCAGCGUAGCUCUUUGUCUCUCUUAUUUCUUUCUCUCGGCGUACGUCGUCGGUACCCAUAUAUAUAUGGAGUUCAGGUAGACGUCAGAGCUCGGAGAGUUCCCUUCCUCGGAUCACCGUGGAUCAAUCCUCUGCCCUUGUCGAGUGCUGCGCAGUCGCCGUCGCCGUCGUUUCCUCUCGCGCUCGCUGACAUCUAUCUGGUCUGGCGGCGGCCUUCGACGUCGAACCAUGCAGAGCCUCUUUGGUCGCAGCAGCAGGUGAAGACGCGAGAACGAAUCUAAUUCCUUCUUCGGUUGCUGUUUUAGUUUCUUGUUUCUUUGGGUUCUUCUUCUCAUGUCUCGUCUGCUUUUCUGGCUCUUGGUUAAUUCUCUACUUGUCAGAGGAUCCUAAAUUUUUGAUUUGGUGUUGGAUUGGCCCGCAGGAACCAGAGGACAUUCAGGCCCAAGAAGAGUGCUCCGGCGAGGGACAAGGUACGUGGCAAGUUGCAGGAUCAAACAUUUUUUAGUGACAAACGUUGGCCAAUUUUUGUAAGAGUUCAUCAAAAGGAUUUUGAAUCUCUUAGAUUAUCUGCCUCUACCUCCCGCUGAAUAACAUGGACUCGAUUCAGUUGGAGGACUGCCUGCUAUGACGAGGAAGAAUUAAUGAUUUGGACUGCCAGCUAUAUAUAGUAAUUUCCCCCCUUUUUUCCAGGUCGAAACCCCCAGCCUCUGCAUAAUUCUGAUGCACACAGCCAGCUAUACAUAUAACUGCAUGCAUUCUGUCAUUAUCCACAUGCUCAAUCCAGAAAAAGAAGCUCAGUUACCAAUCUGAUGGAAAAUAUCAUCAUCAUAUUUUGGACUGUACGUACACAGGGCAUGAAGCUGAAGAGGCACAUCGACGCGACCCUCGGCAGCGGUAACCUGCGAGAGGUGGUCCGCCUGCCUGUCGGAGAGGAUCUCAACGAGUGGCUCGCUGUCAACAGUGAGUUCUUGCACUUUUUUCUUUCUGAAACAGUUGUUGCUUGCCGUUUUAGUUGAUGAGCUGAAAGUUUUGCUAGUUUCUUUUCUGACCACCUCCAUCUCCAGCUGUCGACUUCUUCAACCAAGUGAGCCUCCUGUAUGGCACCCUCAUGGAGUUCUGCACGCCAGCUACCUGCCCCACCAUGUCAGCCGGUCCAAAGUACAUUAAUUCCUUCAAAUCUUCAAAGCAUAUACUCCAUUCGUCUCAUAUUAAUUAUCACUGAAACGGAUGUAUCUAGACGUAUUUCAAUGCUAAAUACAUCUGUUUGAGCGACAACUAAUAUGGGACAACCAAAAGUAUCUUAUAUGCUUCGUGUCACAUUCUGAACUUAAUGAGAAGAAUUCUUCAUCAAACAGGUAUGAGUACAGGUGGGCUGAUGGAGUCAAGAUCAAGAGGCCUAUUGAAGUAUCUGCACCGAAGUAUGUCGAGUACCUGAUGGACUGGAUCGAAGCCCAGCUCGACGAAGAAUCCAUCUUCCCUCAAAAGCUUGGUAACUGAUUAUUAGUUUUGGUGUAAUCGAUGAAGAGUGCUAAAAAUGAUCCGGUCUAAUCAUGCUCUGGUGGAAAACCUGUGGUGCCAACAGGGGCUCCCUUCCCUCCAAACUUCCGGGACGUCGCCAAGACCAUCUUCAAGCGUCUGUUCAGGGUGUAUGCUCACAUAUACCACUCGCAUUUCCAGAUGAUUCUUAAGCUCCAGGAAGAAGCACAUCUCAACACCUGCUUCAAGCACUUCGUGCUCUUCACAUCGGUAACCACCCAACUUUCAUGCCUUCUGUACCAACCUCUCAUGUCUAUCAUGGAAUGCAAAAGAAGGGAGUUGGUUUCCUGGUAGUUUGGUUCCAUGAUUCUGAAUUCUA
This 19642-nucleotide long non-coding RNA is filed under the name Triticum aestivum (bread wheat). RNAcentral's name for it is "long non-coding RNA (TAES_LNC012906)". The record is from RNAcentral. Lineage: Eukaryota; Viridiplantae; Streptophyta; Magnoliopsida; Poales; Poaceae.